Molecule: unclassified non-coding RNA, 261 nt
Filed under: fungal sp.
Lineage: Eukaryota; Fungi
Description: partial internal transcribed spacer region
Rfam family: Eukaryotic small subunit ribosomal RNA (bases 1-46)
Source: RNAcentral
AAGUCGUAACAAGGUCUCCGUUGGUGAACCAGCGGAGGGAUCAUUACAGAGUUGAAAAACUCCCCUAAACCAUUGUGAACCUACCACUAAACAGUUGCUUCGGCAGGCAGCCCUAGGCUUCUGUUUUCACAGAUCCUUAGGGCCCUAUAGCCUAAUUGUCAGGUGCCUGCCAGAGGUUAUACAACUAGACAUUGUUUAUAGCCUGUUAGAAUUUGUACUACCAAUUAGUCAAAACUUUCAACAACGGAUCUCUUGGUUCUG